Molecule: long non-coding RNA, 503 nt
Filed under: Brassica napus (rape)
Lineage: Eukaryota; Viridiplantae; Streptophyta; Magnoliopsida; Brassicales; Brassicaceae
Description: long non-coding RNA (BNAP_LNC007674)
Source: RNAcentral
AUAUUUAAUUCGAACUUACUCAAAACAAUUCGAAAUAAAAUAUCCAUCAUAUAUAUAUAAGAACCGCGUAAAGCGGUAGAGAUUCAAAGCCACCAACGGCCAGUCCCGGUAAACGAUAAAACGACCAAAACAGGCCCAUACAAUCUCUCGAAAUAAAGGCCACAUUCGGCCACAAACGUAGAACAGAUAAACAAACACCUCUCUCUCAAUGAUCACUCCACCUCUCAAGGUCCAAAGUAAAAGUCCCCGGACAACGAAGCUCCAAACGAAUCCGCAGGACGAUCUACUUCCUCGCCAUCAUCGGGAAACUCGGUCGCGACCUCUUUAGUAUCAGGGGAAACCAGGAUGGAUCCCAGAAUCCCUGAUCCUCCCGUCGAUCGAGGGAAUGAGCGCCUCAGCGUGAGCAUGUUCGUUCAUGCCGCCCUUCAUCAAACGCAUUUCCUUCUCGAAAAUGUAGUCGUCGGCUCGCGUUUUCCAAAGACUUCCGACUGAACCACGGCACU